AGGACGAGCGCUGGCGGCGUGCUUAACACAUGCAAGUCGAGGGGGCGUAGCAAUACGUCACCGGCGAACGGGUGCGUAACACGUGAGCAACCUGCCACAGAGUGGGGGAUAGCCGGCCCAACGGCCGGUAAUACCGCAUACGAUCUUCUGGGGACAUCCCUGGGAGAUGGAAAGAUUUAUCGCUCUGUGAGGGGCUCGCGGCCUAUCAGCUAGUUGG
Molecule: ribosomal RNA, 217 nt
Filed under: uncultured soil bacterium
Lineage: Bacteria
Description: partial 16S ribosomal RNA
Rfam family: Bacterial small subunit ribosomal RNA
Source: RNAcentral